Sardina pilchardus (European sardine) is the source of this 599-nucleotide long non-coding RNA. RefSeq lists it as uncharacterized. NCBI's taxonomy places the organism in Eukaryota, Metazoa, Chordata, Actinopteri, Clupeiformes, Clupeidae. The transcript has 3 exons. The record is from RefSeq and is a predicted model, not a curated record.
GGCAUCCUGACGUCAAUUUGACAUCAACAAGUAGUCAAGAUUUUGACCAACAUGUAUGACGUGCAUAAAUAUGCAUAAUUUCAUUAUAUUUUGUAAUGAUUUCCUUGUGGUUGUAAAGAGGCCCAACAAAGGUAUCAAUCUAACAUGUUUUUUCUGGUCCCUACAUCUCAGGUCUAUAUUAUUGACAUUAAAUCAACGUUGAUUUGAUGUCAGGAAAUAAGACGUCAAAUUGAUGUGAAAUUUAUGUCAAAACAACGUCUGUUAAAAUGUCUGAAAAGGUAUAUUAUUAGCCUACUCAUUGUAAAUCGACGCGAGUUUUUCAACAUCCUGACCCACACAGAAGAGGGUUCCAAAACGGACCCUCUGCGGCGGACUCUGUGCGGAUACGCACAUCGAACGCGCCCUUUCCAGUCCUAACGGCUCCUUCAGUUUUCAAAUUUCUCGUUGAUGAAGUGGAAGACGAAACAGCGGCGUCUGAAGGCUCACUGUCAUUCACAAGUGGCUCCAGUCUGGUUUGGGGGUUCUGCCAUCCAAGUAAAGUUAUUCACAAGUGGCUCCAGUCUGGUUUGGGGGUCUACGCUUUCUCAUCCUGUCCUGCC